Molecule: long non-coding RNA, 6768 nt
Organism: Vespula vulgaris
Lineage: Eukaryota; Metazoa; Arthropoda; Insecta; Hymenoptera; Vespidae
Exons: 7
Source: RefSeq, a predicted model, not a curated record
AUUGUAAAGAUGACGUAACGCGUACGCGGGACGGUCCAUAGCUUCCUUCCUGCCGCUUAAUCCGCCAUUCCGAAUUAGUUCGUGGCACGCGUCGCAACCGAGCUUCGUCCUCUCGUUAAUUAGAAUUAUUAGUUAAUUAGAAUAUUUUAUCUAACGUUCACUCAGAUUUUAUACAGCGAUGAAUACCAAAAAUGCGAUUUCCGCGAGUGAAUUUAUUAAUAACGAUCACGCUCAAUUGCGAAAUAUAACUUAUUCUACUGCGUUCCUUAACCUAACAUAAUCAUCUAAGCCAUCGUUUUUUCGAUUAUAGAAUGGAAGAGGUACGAUGUCCGGAUUAUCAAUUUUACUUACGUACAAUAAGAAGUGAUAUUCGAUACAGGACGACGAGUGGGCGUAGAUUCUGUGAAUUUGUUCGUGAGCGUUAACGAUACAGUGUGCCCUGUGUUCCUAGAAAGAAGCAAGAUGGAUUCGGCUAGAGUUCAACAGAGUAGACGUCUUCCGUUUAAGUUUAUACAUUCAUUCUUCGAUUAAGCAGUGUUCUUUCAGCGAAACUUCUUUUAGUAAUUUGCCGUCAGAGUAUAUUUUUUGUUCGAUUGUACAUUUUUUGGGAAGUGCGUUUUAUAUACGUGGAAUAGUUGAUAAUUCAGAGUUCAUUCAAAUUGAAUAACGUUGAUGUAACAUUGUUUCUUUAAUUUUACAUUAGUGGAUUUUAUAUGGAUUCUUUCAACCUUCAUCGUCGUCAUGUGAUUAAUAAUCGACAUCAUCAGGAUAGGGAGGAGUUUUGCACGGUCGUCACCGCGCAGUUGAAUCUUUCUAGACGCAACCCACUUUUUAUCGAGCACGUGUUUAUGGUCGAGAUUUGUCUCGUACCAUUUUCUGUGCAUUUACGCUGGUUGCUCUGCCCUCGUCCAGCAUUAUAAAAUAACCGAGGACAUUCUACUCUCCUCCUUAUUUUUUAGACCUGCUUCAGAUGUCGUUAAUUGAUCUCACGUCGAGGACGAUCGAUGGGAAAAUCUAUGUACGCGAACGCGCUUAAUCUACAUUAUUUUAACGAGUCGUCUCGUCCGUCUUGGAAUAUCACUGCGAAAUAAAAAUUGUAGACUUUUCGUCGAUAGUACAUGACAGAACGAAUACUGCUUAAAUCACGGAGUGGAUGUAUCAUUCGACGGAUCGUUUCCUGAUUGCUGUAAUGCGGUUGACAGUUCUUUAGCCAUCGAAAUGUUACAAGCACGUGGGGAAGCCAUUGCAAAGGUGACGUAAUGCGCAAGCGCGGCGGUCCACAGCCCCCUUGCUGCCUCAGAAUCCAUCAUUUUGAAUAAUUAUUGGCACGUGUUACGACCAAGCUUUUUUCUCUCGUUGAUUGCAGAAUGGAAGAGGUAGGACGUCCAGAUUUUCGUCAUCAAUUUUACUUAUUUACGAUAGUAAAUGGUGUUCGACACACAACAACGACUGGAUGUAGACGUGAUUUCUUUCGUUAUUGUUGACAUUACAUCGUGGCUAAUUUUCUUAAAAAUAAGCAAGACGAAUUUAGUUACAUUCAAACAGAAUUGACAUCUUGACAGUACGAACGCUACUUAAAUCGUGGAAGGAAGCGUUCCUUGAUCUAACAACCAGCUAAGGAAUCAUUAUUUUCGAUGAUAGAAAGAAAGAAGUAUGAAGUUCAAAAUUUUCGUCAUCAGUUUUACUUAUCUAUGAUAAGCAAUGGUAUUGGACACAGGACGACAACUGAUAAGCAAUAGUUGACAUAUAUUAUUAUUUAUUUUCACGUUACCCUUUACGAUAACGUUUAGCUAAUUCUACAUUUAUUUUUUCAGGGUAUAGGCAUUGCGAUUUCGUCCGUUAUUGUUAACAAUGCAUCGUGGCCCGUGUUCCUUGAAAUAAGCAUGGUGAAUUUAGUUACAGUCGAACAGAAUUGACAUCUGUUUACACAUUCAUUCUUCGAUUAAACAGUGUUCUGUUAACGAUACUUUUACAUCGGAGUAUAUUUUUCUUCCGAUUACAUUUUUCAUUUAAUAUACAUCGAGUAGCUGAUAAUUCAAAGUUUAUUCAAGUUGGAUAACUUUAUCGUAACUUCAUUCCUUUAAUCGAUGAAAAAAUCUAUGUAAGCGAACGCGUCUUAAAUAACACUAUUUCAACGAGUCAUAUGGUCUCUCUUGAAAUAUCGCUGCGAAAUAGAAACGAUAGGCUUUUCGUCGAUAGUAUACGACAGAACGAACACUGCUUAAAUCGAAAUAUAUGUGUUAAUUGGGUCGUGGAUUCCCGGAUAGCAGUUCCUAAGUAUCACGCUCGUUAGAGCAAGAUGGUUCUUUAUUCUCUUGUCUGAUGAGGAAUACUUAACAUUUUGAUAUUUUUAUUAUAACACUAUUUUUAUUAACUUUGUUAAUUUUUUUUCUUUUUUUUUCUUUUUUUUUUUCUUAUAGGAAGCCUAUGUUGUAAUUUCGUUCUACUGUUUGGAUACGGGUAAAAGAACAAUUCAACGCUCUAGUUGGAAAUGGUCUUUGUAAAAUUGCGACUCAUGGAAAGCCUCCUUCCUCUAGGAUCUAUUAUGAAUAUGAAGAUGAGAAAGGAAAGGAAAGGAGCCAGGAAGAUGCGAUGGAAGCAAUAACGAAGGAUGGAAUUUUGAAGAAUCUUCCAUUGGGUUAAAAUCAGCAGGAAAACAACGCUUCCUUCAUUUUACCGAACCGAAAGAAGACUCGCCUCUCCUUCGUGCGUAUUGCUUCUUUAAAUCCGCUUAAGCUCCAACGUUCUACGUAAUUCUCAGCGAUUUUGCGCACCCCUAAGCGUUUCUGCGUGACACCCUAAGCGAUACUGCAAUACCCUAAGCGUGUUUCUGCAAUACCCUGAGCGUUUCUGCGAUACCCUGAGCGUUUUUGCGCGACACCCUAACCGAUCCUGCGUGACACCCUAAGCGAUCCUGCACGAUACCCUUAAGCGUUUCUGCGACACCCUCAGCGUACCUGCGCAAUCCCUAACGUCGUAUUCUGUUCAAUUCUCAGCGUUUUGCGUAACCAUCAGCAUUUCAAACGAUUCCCCUGCUUUAGUCUUGCGCAUAAUUGCGAUGUUUUACGAAAAAUUACAAGAUAGAAACAAAUUUGUUAGAAUCAUUGUUAUAAUAUUGUUGGAGUUUAUAGAGCGUUGAAAAAAAGAAACUUCAAUUGGAAGGUAGUACAUCAGUUGAUUUCUUUCCGGAAUGUUAACAUAAAAUUGUUUUAUACUUCACAAGAUAUUACGUGCGGUGCAACGUUUAAGCGGUUGUAUUAUUGUUUAAAUCUUAUUUUAUAUCGACCAAUCGUAUAUUAUAGAUUCUUUAAAUAAUUGUAAAGUGAUAGAAAGCAUACAUAAAUUUGAUGCGUUAAGAGAAUUUUAGACCACCGUCGGGCGUAUCGAAAACCGUCGUCCAGUAUUUAUCCGUAACAACAAACAUCUUUUUAGACGAUUCUUAGGAUAUCGCGUGACCCCAGCUUCGCGAAUAAUUGAAAUGCUCAUAUACUAAAAAAGAAAAAAUAUUAUUUUUAUCAUUGUAAUAAGAAAGCGUCGAAAAAAAAGAAGCUUAAAUAGAAGGCAGUAUGUAAGCAGAUUUCUGUUCUGCGAAACGUUCGAUUAAAAUUAUUUUCUACGUACUACGAGCGGUAUAAAGCUUGAGCGGCGGGGUUGUAUUCUGUAAAUAUUAGUUUGAUACUACCGAGCGUACAUAUGUAGCGUACAUUGCUUAAAUGAUUGUAAAACGACAAAAAAUAAAAAUGAUCUAGGUUUAGCGCGGUUCAACGCGGUCCAACGCGUGUACCGGAAAUUUUAGGGCAUGGUAGAGCGUUUCAACUACCGUGAAUCCAUUCGUGCGUAAUUAAGCGUGUUGCGUAAUUCCGAACAGAUUGGCGUAACCCUUAGAAAUAUUGCGUAAACCCCUAACCCUUAUUUAGGUAAAUUCUCUGGCUCUGCCAGACGCAACCCAGCGAUUUCGCCCACUACGUGGUUCGGCGUAAGUAUCCAUUUGGCAAGGUAUGGGUUUUUUUUUACACGUAAGUCCUGUCGAUUUUUCGCAACGUCCAACGUGGACACCCAGAGUUUUGUCUUUUUCAGGUUAUCUGCAACCUCGGAGUUAUUUAUUCACCUACAUACUAUCGAGAUUACUGAAGCGAUGGUAUUUUUUUUGCAUAAUGUUGAGGGCAUUGCGUCGUUUUGAACGAAUGCGCGUAAUCAGUAGUUUCUUUUUUUUUGUAUGAAGCCCACCGUAUCUAUAUAAUCCUUACAGAUUUUGUGUAAACCUUUGCGUGUAUUCAGCCGAACUUCUGUGGUCCAACUUCGGUGUAAUCCAGAUGCGACCCAACGAUUUGCAGUAAGUAUUUUUCUCACUUACUGCCUUUAUGUUCGUUCCGUAAUUCUACGCGUGUUGCGUAAAUUGCAUAGUAUCUGCAACCCGCAGCUCAUUUUCCUAGAUACCAGCGAAGUUAUUUAAACUGCGGCAUUUUUUUUUUUUUCAUAGUUCGGGAUAUUUUCGUUUUAUCCGAAGAAUCCGCGUUUUUAUAUAGCCUAACGUCUCUGUGUAAACCGUGGCGUGUAUUUAGCUUCAUUUUAGCGUGUCUACUUAACUCUAACGUUUCCACAUUAUCACUUAGUUAUCGACCGUAUUUUUUUUUUAACGUGAUCUCUAUUCGUCGCGUAAUUCUUCGCGUAUAUCGUAAUUUGGAGGGUAUUUAGAGCCCUAGCUUAUUUUCCAUGAUACUAGAUGGGUUACUUACCCGACAGAAUAUUUGCAUAGUCCCAGGGGUACUUCCGAUGAAUCGUUGCAAUGUCCAACUUCUUUACAACGCCAAGCGAUUUUGCGAAACCUUUGCACGAUUUGAAAGCCCUAGUGUAACGUAGCGUAACGUAUUUUUACAUAACGAUCCCGAGAUUUGUCGAAAGUACUUCUUUUUUCUUUUUUCAUAAUGCCUGUCGGAGGUUUUUCUUUUUGACAUUCUUAACAGCUGCGUUAUUCGUAGAAUACUCUAAGCAGCUUAUUUUCGUAGAUACUAGCUAGGUUAUUGAAACGACAGCAUUUUUUCUUUUUUCCUUUUUUAUAAUUCGUGGGGCACUCGUUAGAUCCGACGAAUCUGCGUAAAUACUAGGGUUUUACUCGUAGAUGACCGCGUAGAUGACCGCGUAGAUGACCGUGUACUUUCAUGUGUAUCUGCAACUAUCAGCUUAUUAAUCGAAGAUAUUACCGAGGUUAUAUGAUCGACUGCAUUUAUUUUGCAUAAUCUGUGGGGCACUCGCGUUAUUUCCGAAGAAUCUGCGUAAAUACUAGGGUUUUCAGGAAGUGCAGCGUUUCUGUGUAAUCCUUGUAGAUUUGGCGUCGGUAAUAGGACGUAUUUAGGUAGCCUCCGAGAAUGCGGCGUAAUCCGAUUGUUUCCGCGUUACCACCCUGUGAUUUCGCGUAAGUACUUGCAUUUAUACGUAAUACUUGUGUAAAUUCCUGUCGGUUUUCGAUAACUCGGGGAUGACCGUGUAGUUCCCGUGUAUUUACAACUGUCGGCUUAUUAAUCGAAGAUAUUACCGAGGUUAUAUGAUCGACUGCAUUUUUUUUGCAUAAUCUGUGGGGCACUCGCGUUAUUUCCGACGAAUCUGCGUAAAUACUAGGGUUUUCAGGAAAUGCGGCGUUUCUGUGUAAUCCUUGUAGAUUUGGCGUCGGUAAUAGGGCGUAUUUAAGUGGCCUCCGAGAAUGCGGCGUAAUCCGAUUGUUUCCGCAUUACCACCCUGUGAUUUCGCGUAAGUACUUGCCUUUGUACGUAAUACUUGUGUAAAUUCCUGUCGGUUUUCGAUAACUUGUGGAUGACCGUGUAGUUCCCGUGUAUUUACAAUUGUCGGCUUAUUAAUCGAAGAUAUUACCGAGGUUAUUUUAUCGACUGCAUUUUUUUUUGCAUAAUCCGCGGGGCACUCGUUAUAUCCGACGAAUUUGCGUAACUACUAGCAUUUUCAUAAAGUCCGGCAUUUCUGCGUAACCUACAGAUUUUACAAAAAUCUAAGUACGCAAUCUACAGCGUGGGACAUAACCCUACUGUCUUCGCUUUACCAUCCGGUGAUUAGAAGUAUUUGUCCGUUUUCUUUUUAGGUAAUCCCUCGGUUUUUCAAUAGUUCCUAACGUACCGACGUAGUUCCUAGGUUUAUCAGCAAUACCCAGGUUAUUUUCUUAGAUACUAGCGAGGUUACUUAAACGACAUUUUUGGCCUCCGAGCUUUCUCCGUAAUCUCAUUUUUUUCCGCAUAACCAUCUCGUGAUUUCGUUCAAGUAUAUUGUUUUUCCGUAAUGGAUGUCGAUUUUUCCUAACUCCUAGAUGACCGUGUAAUUUCCAGGAUAUCUGUAACGAUCAGCUUAUUAAUUCUAGAUAUUAACGAGGUUAUUUAGUCGAUAGCAUUUUUGAAUAGUCCCUGAGGCGGUUGCAUUAUUUACGUAGACUAUACGAACUACCAGCAUCUUUAUAAAGCUCAUCGUUUCUGGGUAACCCUUACAGAUUUUGGCUUAUCCGACUGGCGAUUUGAAGUUAUCCGUAGUACCCAUCUUAUUUCCCUAGAUUCUAGAGAGGUUACUUAAACGACAACAUCGUUGCAUAAUCCCAGGGGCAUAUUCGUUAUUUCCUACGAAUCAAGUAACGACCAGCGUCUUCAUAAAGUGCAGCAUUUCUGUAUAUCCUCAUAGAUUUGUCGUCAAUCCUAGAACGUAUUUAGGUGGCCUCCGAGCGUCAGGCGUAACGUCAUAGUGUCCGCAUAAGCGAAUAAAUUUGUUUCUACCUAA